Molecule: transfer RNA, 73 nt
Filed under: Candidatus Magasanikbacteria bacterium CG10_big_fil_rev_8_21_14_0_10_38_6
Lineage: Bacteria; Candidatus Magasanikiibacteriota
Also listed under: 1 other name
Description: tRNA-Pro
Rfam family: tRNA
About the family: Transfer RNA (tRNA) molecules are approximately 80 nucleotides in length. Their secondary structure includes four short double-helical elements and three loops (D, anti-codon, and T loops).
Source: RNAcentral
CAGGAUGUGGCGCAGUUGGUAGCGCGUGUGGCUGGGGGUCACAAGGCCGCUGGUUCAAGUCCAGUCAUCCUGA